GAUGAACGCUGGCGGCGUGCCUAAUACAUGCAAGUAGAACGAGGAAGGCGGAGCUUGCUCUUCUGGAGGAGUUGCGGACGGGGGAGUAACGCGUAGGUAACGUGCCUGGUAGGGGGGGAUGACUAUUGGAAACGAUAGCUAAUACCGCAUGACAACAGUUAUUGCAUGAUAACUGUGUAAAAGGGGCAGCUGCUCCACUACCAGAUGGACCUGCGUUUUAUUAGCUAGUUGGGGAGGUAACGGCUCACCAAGGCGACGAGACAUAGCCGACCUGCGAGGGUGCGCGGCCACGCUGGUACUGGGACACGGCCCAGACCCCUACGGGUGGCAGCCGUAGGGGAUCUUCAGCAAUGGCAGCAAGUCUGACCGUGCGACGCCGCGGGAGUGCAGGAGGUAUUCGGGUCGUAAAGCUCUGUUGUGCGUGAAGAUCGUGUGUGAGUGUGGAAAGUUCACACUGUGACGGUAUCUUACGAGAAAGGCACGGCUAACUACGUG
RNAcentral lists this ribosomal RNA (495 nucleotides) under uncultured bacterium. RNAcentral's name for it is "partial 16S ribosomal RNA". It matches the Rfam family "Bacterial small subunit ribosomal RNA", at positions 28 to 507 of the family's 1533-position model. The record is from RNAcentral.